This 262-nucleotide ribosomal RNA is filed under the name uncultured Lactobacillus sp. Its description in RNAcentral is "partial 16S ribosomal RNA". It matches the Rfam family "Bacterial small subunit ribosomal RNA", at positions 1240 to 1501 of the family's 1533-position model. Lineage: Bacteria; Bacillati; Bacillota; Bacilli; Lactobacillales; Lactobacillaceae. The record is from RNAcentral.
CAACGAGUCGCGAAACCGCGAGGUCAAGCUAAUCUCUUAAAGCCGUUCUCAGUUCGGAUUGUAGGCUGCAACUCGCCUACAUGAAGUUGGAAUCGCUAGUAAUCGUGGAUCAGCAUGCCACGGUGAAUACGUUCCCGGGCCUUGUACACACCGCCCGUCACACCAUGAGAGUUUGUAACACCCAAAGCCGGUGAGGUAACCUUCGGGGACCAGCCGUCUAAGGUGGGACAGAUGAUUAGGGUGAAGUCGUAACAAGGUAACC